AAGUAUAUACAUAGAAAUAUAUAUGUAUAUAUAUUUCUAUGUAUAUACAUGUUUGUGAUUGUUUAUAUGUAUGUUUAUAAUUGUUUAUAUGCAUAUAUAUACCAAUUGCAAUAAAAAUAACCUUAAAUGUUUUUUUUUAGCUUAACAACAUUGCCAACAAUAUUACCUUAUAAAAAAAAAAUAAUAAAUAUUAUUAAAAAGGGGUAUUGUAAUAAAUCUAAAAAUAUAUUUUUUCCUGUUGUUCAUUACUUAAAUUACCCUAAAUACAAUAGUAAUUGUAUCAGUGGUAAAAGUAGUAAUUACAUAAAUAGUACCUACCGAAACAGUAAAAAUUUAUUAAUAGAAAGCAGAUUUUCUUCUUUCAAUAGCUGCAAAUCCGAAAAAAAAGCGAGUACUAGUAUAAUGACGUCCACCGUGCCACAAGUAAUAUCCCUGGAUCCGGUUACUUUACCCAUAAUCUACCAAACACCAAUUGAUAACAUGAAAAUCGAAAUCCAUGAGUUGAAUAAUCAACCUAUUAAUGCUGAUGAGGGUUUACUAGUGUUUUUAGUAAAACCUGGUGAUAAUAAUAGUAGUAGUAAUAAUAGUGGGUCUAAUGGUUUAAUCAAAAUAAAAACAAAAGUAAAUGAUCCAUGUGUGAAUGAAUUUUUAAAAGCUGACAAUAUUGAUAAUUUUAAUGGGAAAUUAGGAAAUUCCAAAUUGUUUUGCAUUCCUAAUUCGCAAAAGAAAUAUAUCAGUAUAGCUUAUAUAGGUUGUGUUGGCUCAAAUGAAUUAAGUGAAUUUGAAAUAAGGACGAUGGUUAAUUCUUUAAUUAAUUUGGUACAUGAAAAUAAAUUUUAUAAAAUGUCGAUUAUUUUUGAGAUAGAUUUAUCAGCUAACUUAUUUCGCUUUUUUUUAGAAACUUUUUUUUAUGAAUAUAUGAUUGAUGAAAGAUUUAAAUCGAUGGAUAAGGUUAUGAAUUUGCAUAAUUUAAAAGAAUUGUUUAUUCACAUUUCUAAUGGUAAUGAAUUAGUUAAAGAAUUAGAAAAGGCACGUACGUAUUUUUUUGGUACAUAUUAUGCUUCUCAGUUAAUAGCUGCACCAUCUAAUUAUUGUAAUCCCAUUUCUUUGUCUAAUGUUGCUGUUGAA
This 1128-nucleotide long non-coding RNA is filed under the name Piliocolobus tephrosceles (Ugandan red Colobus). RNAcentral's name for it is "lncRNA (ENSPTEG00000018097.1)". Lineage: Eukaryota; Metazoa; Chordata; Mammalia; Primates; Cercopithecidae. The record is from RNAcentral.